GAUGAAGAACGUAGCGAAAUGCGCUAAGUAAUGUGAAUUGCAGAAUUCAGUGAAUCAUCGAAUCUUUGAACGCACAUUGCGCCCCUUGGUAUUCCGAGGGGCAUGCCUGCUCGAGCGUCAUUAUAACCCCUCAAGCUCAGCUUGGUGUUGGGGCCUGCUGCACUGGCAGCCCUUAAAAUCAGUGGCGGCGCCAUCUGGCUCUAAGCGUAGUAAUUCUUCUCGCUAUGGAGUCCUGGUGGAUGCUUGCCAUCAACCCCCAAUUUUUCUAUGGUUGACCUCGGAUCAGGUAGGGAUACCCGCUGAACUUAAGCAUAUCAAUAAGCGAGGA
RNAcentral lists this unclassified non-coding RNA (328 nucleotides) under soil metagenome. RNAcentral describes it as "partial contains 5.8S ribosomal RNA, internal transcribed spacer 2, and large subunit ribosomal RNA". The stretch from base 1 to 120 matches the Rfam family "5.8S ribosomal RNA", at positions 35 to 154 of the family's 154-position model. The record is from RNAcentral.